ACAAACAGUUAAAAGAUGGAAAGCAGCAGUACCUGUAUUUCACUUGUGCUGAAUUAGCAUCUACUGAAAUUGCUCUGCAGGUACCCUGUGUCCCCAAGACUGCAGGCACCAAAGUACUUCCACACUGUCUUGGCGCCUUCCCAAAAUGCAGGUGUGGGAACAAGCCAGGGGAUUCAGACUCCAAGGCUGGCAGUGUGCAGGAGCGCCCAUGACGCCCAUACCAACAAUGAUUGUAAAGUCUAUGCUUUGUAAUACUUCUCAUACAGCCUCAGCAUUAAAUAAACCUGCUCUAUUUUUGAGUGCUACUACUGUGAUUCUUGAGGGAUCUCUAAAAGGAAAUAGUUGUCCAGCGCUGCUGAAUGCCUGUUAUUAAGGAAAAAAGUAUUUAAAGAUUCAGAGAUACCCCUGCUUAAUCUGAGGGGUUCCCAGACCAUGGGUUGAAAAUUUCUGCAGUGUUCCCUCUGGACAUUUCUUCUUCAUUUUCUCCUUGGUUCUUCUGUUUCCUGCAUGACAAUCUGCCUCCUUGGUGUCCUAGGAUCUGUUCACCCCUCACCUUAUACUUCUCUUUUGACCCAUCUUGUAAAGCAGACCCCUGGUUGAGCAAGUAUGGUUCUUUCUCCUAAAGAACAUGCAGAAGAUUUUGCAGUCUCGUCAAAUUUAGGGCACUGCUUCCGCAUCAGACUCCUGGAUUCAUUUCAUGCCUUAAACUUUGAAUUGAACUGAUGCCUCUGAUGGAUAAGAAUUUCCACUGAGUUUGUGCAUUUGGGUAUGUCUGGGCUUUCAGUUAUGUGAAGGUCUCUCCAUAAGAAGCCCAGCUUCUCAGUCUCCUGUUCAAAGUAGGUGUGUCAAGGCAGCCCAUUAACUGAUUUCUUGAUUCUGUCUCUUCUCAGUGAAAACUUCUUUUUUCAUUAAAAAAACAACAAUAAUUUCCUGUUAUUUUUUGGUAAGGUAAAACUGGAAAGCUGGAGGAAGGAAACUGAAAAUCAGCUAUGAUUUCAAUGAAACAUAUUUCUUUAAUGAGUGAAAAGUGACAUAAUCUUUAAAGCAAUAUUUGAAGUUACGUUACUGCAAUUUCAGUUAAGUCUGUAAAAACAGCUACAGUUAAUACCUGUUCAAAAUGAAGUUACUUCAUUCAUUUUCUAGAAUUAAGCAACUAUAAUUCCCAUAUAUCAAAUUUAUUGGUCUUAGUAGUGAAUUAAGAAUACAUUUGACAUAAACCUGUUUUUCCAAGCCUAUUUUCCAGAAAUAUGAGUUUACCCUGUGUCAUUUAUUAUUAUAUAUUAUAUCUUUAUAACAUUACAUCAUUGUCAUCUGUUAACAUACUAUCUGAAAGCGUGGGGUAUACAAAACUUCUGGUUAUGAGAACAAUCUUGUUUCCUUAUAUUUCCAAGUAUAUUUUCUUUCUCAUUUGAAGGAAUGAACAGCUAUAUGCUCCCAGGGACUUGGCUGCAUUUUACCUGUCCUUAGCUGCUCAAGCACUAGUUACUUAGUCCAGUCUGUAUACCUGGACUCACCCCCAGUCAGUGGACUUAUGCCAUUUCUUGACCUCCUUACCCCAUGCAGCUUGUACAGUCAUUAGGAGCGAUUGGUUGCCUCUUGAGGUGCCAAUUUCUCUUCAUUAACUAUGUAAGGAACACAGAGGCUAAUUUAGAGACCUGAAAUUUGGACAGAUGAAAUUAGAUACAAUGAGACCUGCUCUUUGGUUGUACCACACUUCAGUCCCUAACAGUAGGUACUUUUGUUGUUACCUGAGGUGAAGAACAUUUGCUCAUUAUUUCAUAAAUAUUUCUACGAGCCCUCUUGUGCUGAAUACAUUAGACCCAAUAGCUUGCUCCUUCCUAAAGAAGCAAAGGAAUGUAGUUUCCAUAAGCAGAGAGCCAGUGAAAAUACCACUCUUCUCAAAUUUCCUUCCUGGUGUCUCAGAGACAAAUGUCUUGGCUUCUUCCUUGUACCUUCAUCAUUCAGCAGUGUAGGCACAGUGUUGGUGCUUAGACCAGACUGCAGCUGCAAUAAUGCAGGAGAAAAAAAAAAAAAAAGAAAAAAGAAAAAAAGUGGCCUAGAGAAUUCAGAAUAUAUAAAUACAGUCCCAAGUCCUCUCCAGUGCAGAAUCUGGCAUUGGUUUUAAUUAUAUCAUUGCACUGUGCUAUGGUGGGCAUUUGUGAAAGAAAGCUAACUAAAAUGAAAAAAUCUCAUCAAAUUCCCAAACACUUCUUUACAGUCAUAUAGAGGCUCAAAAAUCCAUGCAAAUUUUUUCCUCAUUCAUCUGUGACAGAACAGAAUUACUGUACAUGAUGAUUUACUAUCUCUGAAGACACAUCCUUUUUAUUUUUAAGCCUAAGAAAAAAAAAAAGGCUCGAAGUGCAAGUGCAUUUAGAAAAAUAAAAUAAAUAAAACAUCAACA
This 2401-nucleotide long non-coding RNA is filed under the name Anas platyrhynchos platyrhynchos (common mallard). Its description in RNAcentral is "lncRNA (ENSAPLG00000021758.1)". Lineage: Eukaryota; Metazoa; Chordata; Aves; Anseriformes; Anatidae. The record is from RNAcentral.